GGGAGGCAGCAGUGAGGAAUUUUGCGCAAUGGGCGAAAGCCUGACGCAGCGACGCCGCGUGGAGGAUGAAGGUUUUCGGAUUGUAAACUCCUUUUGUAGGGGAAGAUAAUGACGGUACCCUAUGAAUAAGCCACGGCUAACUCUGUGCCAGCAGCCGCGGUAAGACAGAGGUGGCAAGCGUUGUUCGGAAUUACUGGGCUUAAAGGGCGCGUAGGUGGUGGCAUAAGUCCGAGGUGGAAGACUAAGGCUUAACCUUAGAAUUGCCUUGGAAACUGUAUCACUUGAGUCAGCGAGGGGAUGGCGGAAUUCCAGGUGUAGCGGUGAAAUGCGUAGAUAUCUGGAGGAAGGCCGGUGGCGAAGGCGGCCAUCUGGCGCUGAACUGACACUGAGGCGCGAAAGCGUGGGGAGCAAACAGGAUUAGAUACCCGUGUAGUCCA
Molecule: ribosomal RNA, 437 nt
Filed under: uncultured bacterium
Lineage: Bacteria
Description: bacterial SSU rRNA
Rfam family: Bacterial small subunit ribosomal RNA
Source: RNAcentral